AAACAUUUAAUAAUUGUUUAAAUUUGAGCUAAAAGGAAAAGCCACAUCAGGAAGCAAGGUCAAGGCACAGUCUCACGCACAGUUCCCUGUGUCUUCUCUCUCAUCCCUCCUCCAUGAGAAGCAGAAGCUAGGUCCUAGGGUUCCUCUCCCUCCAUCGUACAAAUCUUCCCCAAAUUUACUUUCUUCAAAUCUCACAUUACCCCAACCAAGCCUAUCACUUCCAUGGCCAAAACCAGACCAGGCCUCAUCUCCAAGCCCAAACACGGCAAAAGAGAGCUCGACUCCUCCACCAUUCGCGGCACCAACAAAGUCGUCAAAGUGGGGGAUUGCGUGUUGAUGAGACCAUCGGACACCGGAAAGCCGCCAUACGUGGCGAAAAUUGAGGGAAUCGAGGCGGAUAGCAGAAACAAUGUGAAGGUAAG
Molecule: unclassified non-coding RNA, 422 nt
Filed under: Hevea brasiliensis (rubber tree)
Lineage: Eukaryota; Viridiplantae; Streptophyta; Magnoliopsida; Malpighiales; Euphorbiaceae
Source: RNAcentral